ACGUGCUUGGAUUUCUUGUCCCUUAUCGAGGUCAAAGAUAUCAUCUGCAUGACUAUGUUGGACUGUAAAGAUUGCGUGGGAAGGAAGAAUUGUUCAAUUAUAGACACUCCUCGUGCCGUAACAUUAUUGAACGUUGCAUUGGAGUUUUAAAGGCGAGAUUUUCAAUUUUGAAGUUGAUUACCAAUUAUCCACUUAGUGGGCAAAGACAAAUCCCUACUGCAUGUUAUCAAUAAACAACUUUAUCCGUCAGGAGCAUACUUUAGAUAAAUUGUUCGUAGAGUAUUCAGAGGAAAAUAUGGUAUUUCAAGACAUACUGGAGUCAAGUCAAGAUCAAGAAGUCAUACAUUUUGAUGCUAGUCAAACAGCUCAAAUGGGACAAGUCAGGGAUCAAAUUGCUAUACAAAUAUAGAAUGACUGCUCAAGACAUCGUACAUGAUUGCGGAUGUACUUUAUAUUUUGUUUAGUGUCUUCUUGUUUUGCCAUGACACGUAAACUUCUAAUAGUAUAUUGAACCGUGUUGCCAAAUUUAAUUUAGGUUGUUUUUUUUAGACUCGUCAAAAAAUAUUUCAAGAUCCG
RNAcentral lists this long non-coding RNA (576 nucleotides) under Olea europaea subsp. europaea. The record is from RNAcentral. Lineage: Eukaryota; Viridiplantae; Streptophyta; Magnoliopsida; Lamiales; Oleaceae.